RNAcentral lists this ribosomal RNA (407 nucleotides) under uncultured bacterium. RNAcentral's name for it is "partial 16S ribosomal RNA". It matches the Rfam family "Bacterial small subunit ribosomal RNA", at positions 28 to 526 of the family's 1533-position model. The record is from RNAcentral.
GACGAACGCUGGCGGGAUGCCUUACACAUGCAAGUCGAACGGAGUGGCGAACGGGUGAGUAAUGUAUCGGAACGUGCCCAGUAGCGGGGGAUAACUACGCGACAGCGUAGCCAAUACCACCUAAUAUUGGAACGGCCGUUACCGGAUUAGCUAGUUGGUGGGGUAACGGCUCACAAAGGCAACGAUCCGUAGCUGGUUUGAGAGGACGACCAGCCACACUGGGACUGAGACACGGCCCAGACUCCUACGGAAGGCAACAGUGGGGAAUUGUGGACAAUGGGGGAAACCCUGAUCCAGCCAUCCCGCGUGUGCGAUGAAGGCCGUCGGGUUGUAAAGCACUUUUGGCAGGAAAGCGGUACCUGCAGAAUAAGCACCGGCUAACUACGUGCCAGCAGCCGCGGUAAUAC